UCCCUGGUGGUCUACUGGUUAGGACCUGGCACUUUCAUUGCUGCAGCCUGGGUUUAAUCCCUGGUCUGGGAA
Non-coding RNA from Sus scrofa (pig), 72 nucleotides. NCBI's taxonomy places the organism in Eukaryota, Metazoa, Chordata, Mammalia, Artiodactyla, Suidae. The record is from Rfam.